CUCGGCUGACGUCACGCGGCCUGGCCGUCGCGCCCUCAGCCAUGGCGGCGCUUCCCGGUGCCAUCCGCUUCCAUCCGCUGCCAUCCGCGGCCGGGGCUGCUCUCACGGAGCGAGGGAGGAGCAGAGGCUCUUCGGGGCAGCGUUGGCGAGGCGCCUUCCCCGCCAUCGGGCCCCGCCGCCGCAGCCGUGAGCCUCUCACUCAGAUGAUCUAGAGAUGUGGAAAGCUGCUGGGAUGGAGGAGGCCUCGUUCUCAUGUCUCCACAUGCAUGUUUCUUCCUCAGAAGCAACACAGAAAUGACACUGGCGAGUUCCACUGAGAUGAGAGACUCUCACUUUCUAGAGAAAGCUGCUGGGAUGGAGAGGGCCUCAUCUUCUCAGCUCCAUACAGAUGUUUCUUCCCCAGAGCCAACGCAGCAAUCCUACUGGUGGCUCCUGCUUGGGUGAUGUGUUGGGAUGGAGGAGGCCUCGUCUUCUCAGCCCGACUGGGGUGUCUCUUUCCUUGAGAUGAUGCAAAGAUCGUGCUGGUGCCUCACACCACCAUGGGGUUCCCCUCUCCACCAGUCCUCGCCUUGGUCUUCCCAGAGCUCCCAGUUAUUCCCAAGGUUUUAACUGGGAAUCCUGGAAUGAGAACGGGUUUAUUGAUGAAUAAAUCAUGCCUGUU
Molecule: long non-coding RNA, 661 nt
Organism: Colius striatus (speckled mousebird)
Lineage: Eukaryota; Metazoa; Chordata; Aves; Coliiformes; Coliidae
Exons: 5
Source: RefSeq, a predicted model, not a curated record